UACGAAGGGGGCUAGCGUUGCUCGGAUUCACUGGGUGUAAAGCGCGCGUAGGUGGCCCCAUAAGUCCGCUGUGAAAGUCAAAGGCUCAACCUUUGAAAGCCGGUGGAUACUGUGGGACUAGAGUACGGAAGAGGCGAGUGGAAUUCCUGGUGUAGCGGUGGAAUGCGCAGAUAUCAGGAGGAACACCAAUAGCGAAGGCAGCUCGCUGGGACGUUACUGACACUGAGGCGCGAAAGCGUGGGGAGCGAACAGG
Molecule: ribosomal RNA, 253 nt
Filed under: uncultured bacterium
Lineage: Bacteria
Description: partial 16S ribosomal RNA
Rfam family: Bacterial small subunit ribosomal RNA
Source: RNAcentral